CCUACGGGAGGCAGCAGUGAGGAAUAUUGGUCAAUGGGCGCGAGCCUGAACCAGCCAAGUCGCGUGAGUGAAGAAGUAUCUCGGUAUGUAAAGCUCUAUCAGCAGGGAAGUAAAUGACGGUACCUGACUAAGAAGCCCCGGCGAAUUACGUGCCAGCAGCCGUGGUAAUACGUAGGGGGCAAGCGUUAUCCGGAUUUACUGGGUGUAAAGGGAGCGUAGACGGUGCUGCAAGUCCGGAGUGAAAGUCCAUGGCUUAACCAUGGUACUGCACUGGAAACUGUGGAGCUUGAGUGCAGGAGAGGCAGGCGGAAUUCGUGGUGUAGCGGUGAAAUGCGUAGAUAUUAGGAAGAACACCGGCGGCGAAGGCAGCCUGCUAGACCGUAACUGACGUUGAGGCUCGAAAGCGUGGGGAGCAAACAGGAUUAGAUACCCCUGUAGUC
Molecule: ribosomal RNA, 440 nt
Filed under: uncultured bacterium
Lineage: Bacteria
Description: partial 16S ribosomal RNA
Rfam family: Bacterial small subunit ribosomal RNA
Source: RNAcentral